GCAUAUCAAUAAGCGGAGGAAAAGAAACCAACUGGGAUUACCUUAGUAACGGCGAGUGAAGCGGUAAAAGCUCAAAUUUGAAAUCUGGUACUUUCAGUGCCCGAGUUGUAAUUUGUAGAAUUUGUCUUUGAUUAGGUCCUUGUCUAUGUUCCUUGGAACAGGACGUCAUAGAGGGUGAGAAUCCCGUUUGGCGAGGAUACCUUUUCUCUGUAAGACUUUUUCGAAGAGUCGAGUUGUUUGGGAAUGCAGCUCAAAGUGGGUGGUAAAUUCCAUCUAAAGCUAAAUAUUGGCGAGAGACCGAUAGCGAACAAGUACAGUGAUGGAAAGAUGAAAAGAACUUUGAAAAGAGAGUGAAAAAGUACGUGAAAUUGUUGAAAGGGAAGGGCAUUUGAUCAGACAUGGUGUUUUUUGCAUGCACUUGCCUCUCGUGGGCUUGGGCCUCUCAAAAAUUUCACUGGGCCAACAUCAAUUCUGGCAGCAGGAUAAAUCAUUAAGAAUGUAGCUACUUCGGUAGUGUUAUAGCUUUUUGGAAUACUGUUAGCCGGGAUUGAGGACUGCGCUCCGGCAAGGAUGCUGGCAUAAUGAUUAAAAGCCGCCCGUCUUGAAACACGGACC
Molecule: ribosomal RNA, 615 nt
Filed under: uncultured fungus
Lineage: Eukaryota; Fungi
Description: LSU rRNA
Rfam family: Eukaryotic large subunit ribosomal RNA
Source: RNAcentral